CCACAGGGUAGUAUAAUGAAUACUUUUUGCUUACACCAAAAAACUGGCACAUAACCCCCUUUG
Molecule: transfer RNA, 63 nt
Filed under: Unio delphinus
Lineage: Eukaryota; Metazoa; Mollusca; Bivalvia; Unionida; Unionidae
Description: tRNA-Val
Source: RNAcentral